Molecule: ribosomal RNA, 497 nt
Filed under: uncultured bacterium
Lineage: Bacteria
Description: partial 16S ribosomal RNA
Rfam family: Bacterial small subunit ribosomal RNA
Source: RNAcentral
GAUGAACGCUGGCGGCGUGCCUAAUACAUGCAAGUCGAGCGAACAGAUGAGGAGCUUGCUCCUCUGACGUUAGCGGCGGACGGGUGAGUAACACGUGGAUAACCUACCUAUAAGACUGGGAUAACUUCGGGAAACCGGAGCUAAUACCGGAUAAUAUAUUGAACCGCAUGGUUCAAUAGUGAAAGACGGUUUUGCUGUCACUUAUAGAUGGAUCCGCGCCGUAUUAGCUAGUUGGUAAGGUAACGGCUUACCAAGGCAACGAUGCGUAGCCGACCUGAGAGGGUGGUCGGCCACCUGGGAACUGAGACACGGUCCAGACCCCUACGGGAGGCAGCAGUAGGGAAUCUUCCGCAAUGGGCGAAAGCCUGACGGAGCAACGCCGCGUGAGUGAUGACGGUCUUCGGAUCGUAAAACUCUGUUAUUAGGGAAGAACAAAUGUGUAAGUAACUAUGCACGUCUUGACGGUACCUAAUCAGAAAGCCACGGCUAACUACGUG